GGAUGGUUGGCAGAGAGGCUGAUCGCGCCCGGCUGUAGACCGGGUCCCUUCGGGGCGCGGGGGUUCAAAUCCCUCACCAUCCACCG
This 86-nucleotide transfer RNA is filed under the name Leifsonia sp. Leaf264. Its description in RNAcentral is "tRNA-Tyr". It matches the Rfam family "tRNA". Rfam says of the family: Transfer RNA (tRNA) molecules are approximately 80 nucleotides in length. The record is from RNAcentral. Lineage: Bacteria; Bacillati; Actinomycetota; Actinomycetes; Micrococcales; Microbacteriaceae.